This 315-nucleotide unclassified non-coding RNA is filed under the name plant metagenome. RNAcentral's name for it is "partial contains 5.8S ribosomal RNA, internal transcribed spacer 2, and large subunit ribosomal RNA". The stretch from base 1 to 105 matches the Rfam family "5.8S ribosomal RNA", at positions 50 to 154 of the family's 154-position model. The record is from RNAcentral.
GAACUGCGAUAAGUAAUGUGAAUUGCAGAAUUCAGUGAAUCAUCGAGUCUUUGAACGCACAUUGCGCCCCCUGGCAUUCCGGGGGGCAUGCCUGUCCGAGCGUCAUUGCUGCCCUUCAAGCCCGGCUUGUGUGUUGGGUCGUCGUCCCCUCCGGGGGACGGGCCCGAAAGGCAGCGGCGGCACCGCGUCCGGUCCUCGAGCGUAUGGGGCUUUGUCACCCGCUCGAUAAGGACCGGCCGGGCGCCAGCCGGCGUCUCCAACCUUUUUUUCUCAGGUUGACCUCGGAUCAGGUAGGGAUACCCGCUGAACUUAAGC